GGGGAAUAUUGCGCAAUGGACGUAAGUCUGACGCAGCAAUGCCGCGUGGAUGAAGACGGCCUUCGGGUUGUAAAAUCCUUUUAGCAGGGAAGAAAAAAAUGACGGUACCUGCAGAAAAAGUCACGGCAAACUACGUGCCAGCAGCCGCGGUAAGACGUAGGUGGCAAGCGUUAUCCGGAAUUACUUGGGUGUAAAGGGCGUGUAGGUGGUUUUGUAAGUCCUAGGUUAAAGAUCUAAGCUCAACUUAGAAAGAGCCUGGGAAACUACAUGACUAGAGUACGGGAGAGGAAGGUGGAAUUACCAGUGUAGCGGUGAAAUGCGUAGAUAUUGGUAGGAACGCCCAUGACGAAGGUAGCCUUCUGGACCGAUACUGACACUGAGGCGCGAAAGCUAGGGGAGCAAAC
Molecule: ribosomal RNA, 404 nt
Filed under: uncultured bacterium
Lineage: Bacteria
Description: bacterial SSU rRNA
Rfam family: Bacterial small subunit ribosomal RNA
Source: RNAcentral